This 450-nucleotide ribosomal RNA is filed under the name uncultured bacterium. RNAcentral's name for it is "bacterial SSU rRNA". It matches the Rfam family "Bacterial small subunit ribosomal RNA", at positions 354 to 796 of the family's 1533-position model. The record is from RNAcentral.
GUGGGGAAUAUUGGACAAUGGGCGAAAGCCUGAUCCAGCCAUGCCGCGUGUGUGAAGAAGGUCUUCGGAUUGUAAAGCACUUUAAGUUGGGAGGAAGGGCAGUAAGUUAAUACCUUGCUGUUUUGACGUUACCGACAGAAUAAGCACCGGCUAACUUCGUGCCAGCAGCCGCGGUAAUACGAAGGGUGCAAGCGUUAAUCGGAAUUACUGGGCGUAAAGCGCGCGUAGGUGGUUUUGUAAGUUGGAGGUGAAAUCCCCGGGCUCAACCUGGGAACUGCCUCCAAAACUGCAUGACUAGAGUACGGUAGAGGGUAGUGGAAUUUCCUGUGUAGCGGUGAAAUGCGUAGAUAUAGGAAGGAACACCAGUGGCGAAGGCGACUACCUGGACUGAUACUGACACUGAGGUGCGAAAGCGUGGGGAGCAAACAGGAUUAGAAAACCGAGUAGUCC